CAGCAGCCACGGGAAUACGAAGGGGGCUAGCGUUGUUCGGAAUUACUGGGCGUAAAGCGCGCGCAGGCGGUUCUCCAAGUCAGUGGUGAAAGCCCGGAGCUCAACUCCGGAACUGCCAUUGAAACUGUUGAACUUGAGGACGAGAGAGGUGAGUGGAAUUCCCAGUGUAGAGGUGAAAUUCGUAGAUAUUGGGAAGAACACCGGUGGCGAAGGCGGCUCACUGGCUCGUAUCUGACGCUCAGGCGCGAUAGCGUGGGGAUCAAACAGGAUUAGAUACCCGGGUAGUCCCUGUCUCUUAUAU
Molecule: ribosomal RNA, 301 nt
Filed under: uncultured bacterium
Lineage: Bacteria
Description: partial 16S ribosomal RNA
Rfam family: Bacterial small subunit ribosomal RNA
Source: RNAcentral